UUAAGUUCAGCGGGUAUUCCUACCUGAUCCGAGGUCAAACUUUCAGAAGUGGGGGGUUUAACGGCGUGGCCGCGCUGCGAUCCAGUGCGAGUGUUGCUACUACGCAGAGGAAGCUACAGCGAGACCGCCAAUGUAUUUCGGGGGCGGCACCGCCAGAAGGCAGAGCCGAUCCCCAACACCAAACCCGGGGGCUUGAGGGU
This 200-nucleotide unclassified non-coding RNA is filed under the name Nectria sp. (in: ascomycete fungi). RNAcentral describes it as "Nectria sp. (in: Fungi) partial internal transcribed spacer 2". The record is from RNAcentral. Lineage: Eukaryota; Fungi; Ascomycota; Sordariomycetes; Hypocreales; Nectriaceae.